Molecule: ribosomal RNA, 491 nt
Filed under: uncultured bacterium
Lineage: Bacteria
Description: partial 16S ribosomal RNA
Rfam family: Bacterial small subunit ribosomal RNA
Source: RNAcentral
AGUGAACGCUGGCGGUAGGCCUAACACAUGCAAGUCGAACGGCAGCACAGUAAGAGCUUGCUCUUACGGGUGGCGAGUGGCGGACGGGUGAGGAAUACAUCGGAAUCUACUUUUUCGUGGGGGACAACGUAGGGAAACUUACGCUAAUACCGCAUACGUCCUACGGGUGAAAGCAGGGGAUCUUCGGACCUUGCGCGAUUGAAUGAGCCGAUGUCGGAUUAGCUAGUUGGCGGGGUAAAGGCCCACCAGGGCGACGAUCCGUAGCUGGUCCGAGAGGAGGAUCGGCCACACUGGAACUAGAACACGGCCCAACCCCCAACGGAGGGCGGCGGUGGGGACUAUUGGACAAUGGGCGCAAGCCUGAUCCAGCCAUACCGCGUAGGUGAAGAAGGCCUUCGAGUUGUAAAGCCCUUUUGUUGGGAAAAAAAAGCAGCAGGUUAAUACCCCGCUGUUCUGACGGAACCCAAAAGAUAGGCACCGGCUAACUUCGU